RNAcentral lists this ribosomal RNA (498 nucleotides) under uncultured bacterium. RNAcentral describes it as "partial 16S ribosomal RNA". It matches the Rfam family "Bacterial small subunit ribosomal RNA", at positions 28 to 507 of the family's 1533-position model. The record is from RNAcentral.
GACGAACGCUGGCGGCGUGCCUAAUACAUGCAAGUCGAACGAGAGCGCCCGGUGCUUGCACUGGUCAAUCUAGUGGCGAACGGGUGAGUAACACGUGGGUAACCUGCCCAUCAGAGGGGGAUAACAUUCGGAAACGGAUGCUAAAACCGCAUAGGUCUUCGAACCGCAUGGUUUGAAGAGGAAAAGAGGCGCAAGCUUCUGCUGAUGGAUGGACCCGCGGUGCACUAGCUAGUUGGUGAGGUAACGGCUCACCAAGGCCGUGAUGCAUAGCCGACCUGAGAGGGUGAUCGGCCACAUUGGGACUGAGACACGGCCCAAACUCCUACGGGAGGCAGCAGUAGGGAAUCUUCCGCAAUGGACGCAAGUCUGACGGAGCAACGCCGCGUGAGUGAAGAAGGUUUUCGGAUCGUAAAACUCUGUUGUUAGAGAAGAAUAAGUGCUAGAGUAACUGUUAGCGCCUUGACGGUAGCUAACCAGAAAGCCACGGCUAACUACGUG